RNAcentral lists this ribosomal RNA (267 nucleotides) under Escherichia coli. Its description in RNAcentral is "partial 23S ribosomal RNA". It matches the Rfam family "Bacterial large subunit ribosomal RNA", at positions 2102 to 2368 of the family's 2925-position model. Lineage: Bacteria; Pseudomonadati; Pseudomonadota; Gammaproteobacteria; Enterobacterales; Enterobacteriaceae. The record is from RNAcentral.
UACUAUAGCUUGACACUGAACAUUGAGCCUUGAUGUGUAGGAUAGGUGGGAGGCUUUGAAGUGUGGACGCCAGUCUGCAUGGAGCCGACCUUGAAAUACCACCCUUUAAUGUUUGAUGUUCUAACGUGGGCCCCUAAUCGGGGUUGCGGACAGUGUCUGGUGGGUAGUUUGACUGGGGCGGUCUCCUCCUAAAGAGUAACGGAGGAGCACGAAGGUUGGCUAAUCCUGGUCGGACAUCAGGAGGUUAGUGCAAUGGCAUAAGCCAGC